RNAcentral lists this ribosomal RNA (1218 nucleotides) under uncultured Rhizaria. RNAcentral describes it as "SSU rRNA". It matches the Rfam family "Eukaryotic small subunit ribosomal RNA", at positions 577 to 1805 of the family's 1831-position model. The record is from RNAcentral.
CGGUAAUUCCAGCUCCAAUAGCGUAUACUAAAGUUGUUGCAGUUAAAAAGCUUGUAGUUGGAUUUCUGCGGGGACGGAGCGGCCGGUCGCAACUUGCGACUCGAGCUAGCGCUUUCCCCGCAUCCUGCCGCGAACCGUGCUACCAUUAGCUUGGUGGCGCUGGGGAUCGGCUCGAUUACUUUGAGAAAAAUAGAGUGUUCAAAGCAGGCCACACGCCUUGAAUAAGUUAGCAUGGAAUAAUGACUAAGGACUUCGGUUCUAUUUUGUUGGUGUUCGGGACUGAAGUAAUGAUUGAUAGGGACAGUUGGGGCGGUCUGUAUUCCAAAGCGAGAGGUGAAAUUCUUAGACCUUCGGAAGACAAACAGCUGCGAAAGCGUUCCGCAAGGAUGUUCCCUUUGAUCAAGAACGAAAGUUGGGGGAUCGAAGACGAUCAGAUACCGUCGUAGUCUCAACUAUAAACUAUACCAGCUAGGGAUCGGUCAACGUUUAAUCAUUCGACUUGAUCGGCACCUUAUGAGAAAUCAAAGCAUCUGGGUUCCGGGGGGAGUAUGGUCGCAAGGCUGAAACUUAAAGGAAUUGACGGAAGGGCACCACCAGCCGUGGAGCCUGUGGCUUAAUUUGACUCAACACGGGAAAACUUACCAGGUCCAGACAUAGUAAGGAUUGACAGAUUGAUAGCUCUUUCUUGAUUCUGCGGGUGGUGGUGCAUGGCCGUUCUUAGUUGGUGGAGUGAUUUGUCUGGUUAAUUCCGUUAACGAACGAGACCCCAGCCUGCUAAAUAGCGCGGCUGAGCUUUGCUCGGUGCGAGCUUCUUAGAGGGACUAUGAUGCGCGAUAGCACAUGGAAGUUUGGGGCAAUAACAGGUCUGUGAUGCCCUUAGAUGUUCUGGGCCGCACACGGGCUACACUGGCGCCUGCAACGAGCAUAUCAGCUGGCCCGAGAGGGUCUUGGCUAAUCUUUUGAACCGGCGCCGUGCUUGGGAUUGACCAUUGCAAUUGUUGGUCAUGCAACGAGGAAUGCCUUGUAAACGCGAGUCAUCAGCUCGCAUUGAAUACGUCCCUGCCCUUUGUACACACCGCCCGUCGCUCCUACCGAUGAAUGUUCCGAUGAAAUUUUCGGAGAGCGCCAGAGAACGGGGCUCUGCCUUGCAGAUCUGGAGGCUCAAAGUCACUUAAAUCUGAACAUUUCGAGGAAGGAGAAGUCGUAACAAGGUAGCCG